AUGCUUGCUUUGGCAGCACAUAUACUACAAUUGGAACAAUACAGAAAUGAUUAGCAUGGCCCCUGCUCAAGGAUGACAUGCAAAUUCGUAAAGUGCCUCAUAUUUUU
Molecule: small nuclear RNA, 107 nt
Organism: Vulpes vulpes (red fox)
Lineage: Eukaryota; Metazoa; Chordata; Mammalia; Carnivora; Canidae
Source: Ensembl